Molecule: non-coding RNA, 568 nt
Organism: Cicer arietinum (chickpea)
Lineage: Eukaryota; Viridiplantae; Streptophyta; Magnoliopsida; Fabales; Fabaceae
Source: RefSeq, a predicted model, not a curated record
UUGUAAGCUCAAAAGAGACGCAUGCUUACUAAUGCUUAUUACUUACUUUGGAGGUCGCUGGGUAAAUAGCUGUAGGCCUAUAAUCACUUCGCUUAAGUGCAAGAAGCAAACACUACCUCUAAACUUUUAUAUAUAUAUAUAUAUAUAUGAAAAAGCACUAAAGUAGUUAUAAUUGGUAGAUGAAAAUAUAACCAAAAACACACCCACAAAUUCUCGGGAGUUGUUAAUUACAUAACAUAGCAUAUCAAGGGGCGGAUGUUGCUUGGGACAGGGGAGCCGCGGCCACCAAAAAAAAAUAUAGGUUCGGACUUCAAUUUCGUUCAUCAUCAGAAUUGAUAUUUAGAGUUUGUUUGAAGUUUUGUUUGGAGUUUGAAUUUCAAUUUUAGAUUUCAAUUUUGUUCAUCAUCAAGAUGACAUGAUUUCAAUUUAGAUGUUAGUGCUGAUUUCAUGUGUUGAUUUAGCUAAUUUAUUGAAUUUCAUGUGCUGAUUUUGUUGAUUUUUGUAAUACAAGGUGUUCGAAUUUUGUUUCCAUUUAAUUUUCACUGAAAAAUAUUUUAUGUUUCCUAAA